This 467-nucleotide ribosomal RNA is filed under the name uncultured bacterium. RNAcentral describes it as "bacterial SSU rRNA". It matches the Rfam family "Bacterial small subunit ribosomal RNA", at positions 30 to 491 of the family's 1533-position model. The record is from RNAcentral.
AUUGAACGCUGGCGGCAGGCCUAACACAUGCAAGUCGGGCGGAUGACAGGAGCUUGCUCCUGAAUUCAGCGGCGGACGGGUGAGUAAUGCCUAGGAAUCUGCCUGGUAGUGGGGGACAACGUUUCGAAAGGAACGCUAAUACCGCAUACGUCCUACGGGAGAAAGCAGGGGACCUUCGGGCCUUGCGCUAUCAGAUGAGCCUAGGUCGGAUUAGCUAGUUGGUGAGGUAAUGGCUCACCAAGGCGACGAUCCGUAACUGGUCUGAGAGGAUGAUCAGUCACACUGGAACUGAGACACGGUCCAGACUCCUACGGGAGGCAGCAGUGGGGAAUAUUGGACAAUGGGCGAAAGCCUGAUCCAGCCAUGCCGCGUGUGUGAAGAAGGUCUUCGGAUUGUAAAGCACUUUAAGUUGGGAGGAAGGGCAUUAACCUAAUACGUUAGUGUUUGACGUUACCGACAGAAUAAGC